This 459-nucleotide ribosomal RNA is filed under the name uncultured bacterium. RNAcentral's name for it is "partial 16S ribosomal RNA". It matches the Rfam family "Bacterial small subunit ribosomal RNA", at positions 338 to 795 of the family's 1533-position model. The record is from RNAcentral.
CCUACGGGAGGCAGCAGUGAGGAAUAUUGGUCAAUGGUCGGGAGACUGAACCAGCCAAGCCGCGUGAGGGAGGAAGGUACAGAGUAUCGUAAACCUCUUUUGUCAGGGAACAAAGACUGGGACGCGUCCCCGGAUGAGUGUACCUGAAGAAAAAGCACCGGCUAACUCCGUGCCAGCAGCCGCGGUAAUACGGAGGAUGCGAGCGUUAUCCGGAUUUAUGGGGUUAAAAGGGUGCGCAGGCGGUCUGUUAAGUCAGCGGUCAAAGCCCGGGGCUCACCCCCGGCCCGCCGUUGAAACUGGCAGUCUCGAGUUGGAGAGAAGUAUGCGGAAUGCGCGGUGUAGCGGUGAAAUGCAUAGAUAUCGCGCAGAACUCCGAUUGCGAAGGCAGCAUGCCGGCUCCACACUGACGCUGAGGCACGAAAGCGUGGGUAUCGAACAGGAUUAGAUACCCCAGUAGUC